Long non-coding RNA from Galeopterus variegatus (Sunda flying lemur), 579 nucleotides. RefSeq lists it as uncharacterized. The transcript is spliced from 2 exons. The record is from RefSeq and is a predicted model, not a curated record. Lineage: Eukaryota; Metazoa; Chordata; Mammalia; Dermoptera; Cynocephalidae.
UCUACAUUACUAUGGAACUACUUACUAUCCUUAAUAUACUUUAAAAAAUUUCAGUAAAAAAAGUAGACAAUAUAUGAUUUUAUUAAUAAAGAGUGAGAAAGCAUCAGUGAUAACUGUUUAAACAUUAAACAGCCAUGUCUUGGCUUUAAUAUUGUGCAUAUUGGCUUCUAUGAUACUGCAAAUAAACACAUAAAAAUAUUUCCCAUUUUCAUGCACAGGUAUUCAGCUAUAACAUCAUUUACAAAUUAUUAUGGACAAGAUAAAUUCCCCAAUAAUCAAUAUUCACUUGGAUAGCCACAAUUAAAUGAAUAUUAAACCAAGAAACAGCCUAUGUUCAAUAUAUUCUAGAUGUCUGGUGGUAAUAUUUAAUGUUAUAUAAAACCUAAUUCCUUAUAUUUUUUUAAGGGACAUCUUUUGAAUAAGUGGGUGCUCAAAUAAAGGCUGAGGAAUGUGUUCUUUGAUCAUAAUAACAAAAUUCACACACAAGACAGUUUGCCUCCCCCUCUAAAAGAAGCAAUACAUUUGCUCAAAUCUCUCUCUCCAGGUAGCAUUUCCCCAAUUAUUAAUGAAAAUACCUUA